Non-coding RNA from Clostridiales bacterium GWD2_32_59, 338 nucleotides. The record is from Rfam. NCBI's taxonomy places the organism in Bacteria, Bacillati, Bacillota, Clostridia, Eubacteriales.
CAAGUAAGCCAGAUGAUCGCGGAGAUAAAACUCUGAGGAAAGUCCGGGCUCCAUAGGGCAAGGGUGCUGGUUAACGACCAGUGGAGGCAACUCUAAGGAUAGUGCAACAGAAAUAAACCGCCUGGCGUAAGUUAGGUAAGGAUGGAAAGGUGGUGUAAGAGACCACCGCUUCUUUGGUGACAAAGAGGGCUCUGUAAACCCCACCUGGAGCAAGAUGGUGAGUUGAGUUAAAACGGCCCGUUUCAACUCACGAUAGUAUCGCAUGAGUAUAUUGGUAACAGUAUGCCUAGAUAGAUGAUCAUCAAAUACAGAACUCGGCUUAUAGACUUGCUUGGAUU